Long non-coding RNA from Carassius gibelio (silver crucian carp), 567 nucleotides. RefSeq lists it as uncharacterized. The transcript is spliced from 3 exons. Lineage: Eukaryota; Metazoa; Chordata; Actinopteri; Cypriniformes; Cyprinidae. The record is from RefSeq and is a predicted model, not a curated record.
CAAAUGUCAGAGUGUUAAAAUCCCAGAGUUUUGAUGACCAGAGUAUAAUUUAUACACUUUGGAGUAAACUGGGCUUAAAGUACACUUGUCAGGUUUCACCAGAAACUCUCUCAAGUGUUAGUGUAUUGGUUCAGUGUUGAUGUGGAGCUGUUGUAGUGUAAAUAGUGGGAUGAUGAACACUUUGAGAGUCAAUCUGUUGCUGUCCCGUCCGCACAUGAGUUUAGCUUUCGAUACGUUAUCAGAUCGACUACGCGUUGUCAUUGGUUGAAUCAUGAUGCAGCCUCGUGGACAUCAGUUUCCAACUGACAUCUGAAGUCGUCGACAUUUUGAUUCUGCGGGACCAUAGUAAUAUGUGAGGAAAACUACAGCAAUGCUUUUCAAAGUGCAGUACCAAGGAAAGAAGAAGUACAUCAAACUCAAUGGAGUAUCAUAUCCAGCAUUUCUCAGGGAGGCUAAAGAGAAGUUCAGCAUACCCCCUGAGACAAACAUGUAUGUGCUGGAUGACAGUGGAACAGAGGUUGAUGAAGAGGUCUUCAGCGACAUCUUGGAGGAAAAAGCAGACAUCCU